This 429-nucleotide ribosomal RNA is filed under the name Pseudomonadota bacterium. Its description in RNAcentral is "Proteobacteria bacterium partial 16S ribosomal RNA". It matches the Rfam family "Bacterial small subunit ribosomal RNA", at positions 355 to 776 of the family's 1533-position model. The record is from RNAcentral. Lineage: Bacteria; Pseudomonadati; Pseudomonadota.
UGGGGAAUAUUGGACAAUGGGCGAAAGCCUGAUCCAGCCAUGCCGCGUGUGUGAAGAAUGUCUUCGGAUUGUAAAGCUCUUUAAGUUGGGAGGAAGGGCAGUAAGCGAAUACCUUGCUGUUUUGACGUUACCGACAGAAUAAGCACCGGCUAACUCUGUGCCAGCAGCCGCGGUAAUACAGAGGGUGCAAGCGUUAAUCGGAAUUACUGGGCGUAAAGCGCGCGUAGGUGGUUCGUUAAGUUGAAUGUGAAAGCCCCGGGCUCAACCUAGGAACUGAAUCCAAAACUGGCGGGCUAGAGUAGGGCAGAGGGUGGUGGAAUUUCCUGUGUAGCGGUGAAAUGCGUAGAUAUAGGAAGGAACACCAGUGGCGAAGGCGACCACCUGGGCUCAUACUGACACUGAGGUGCGAAAGCGUGGGGAGCAAACAGG